CUACGGGGGGCUCCAGUGAGGAAUAUUGCACAAUGGAGGAAACUCUGAUGCAGCAACGCCGCGUGGAGGAUGACGCAUUUCGGUGUGUAAACUCCUUUUAUAUGUCAAGAAAAUGACGGUAGCAUAUGAAUAAGCACCGACUAACUCCGUGCCAGCAGCCGCGGUAAUACGGAGGGUGCAAGCGUUACUCGGAAUCACUGGGCGUAAAGGACGCGUAGGCGGGAUAUCAAGUCAGGUGUGAAAUCCUACAGCUUAACUGUAGAACUGCACUUGAAACUGGUAACCUAGAGUAUGGGAGGGGGAGAUGGAAUUAGUGGUGUAGGGGUAAAAUCCGUAGAUAUCACUAGGAAUACCUAAAGCGAAGGCGAUCUCCUGGAACAUAACUGACGCUAAGGCGUGAAAGCGUGGGGAGCAAACAGGAUUAGAUACCCCAGUAGUC
RNAcentral lists this ribosomal RNA (439 nucleotides) under uncultured bacterium. Its description in RNAcentral is "partial 16S ribosomal RNA". It matches the Rfam family "Bacterial small subunit ribosomal RNA", at positions 339 to 795 of the family's 1533-position model. The record is from RNAcentral.